CCUACGGGGGGCAGCAGUGGGGAAUUUUGGACAAUGGGGGCAACCCUGAUCCAGCAAUGCCGCGUGAGUGAAGAAGGCCUUCGGGUUGUAAAGCUCUUUUGUUAGGGAAGAAAUCCUUAAGGCUAAUACCCUUGGGGGAUGACGGUACCUAAAGAAUAAGCACCGGCUAACUACGUGCCAGCAGCCGCGGUAAUACGUAGGGUGCAAGCGUUAAUCGGAAUUACUGGGCGUAAAGCGUGCGCAGGCGGUCUGAUAAGACAGUCGUGAAAUCCCCGGGCUCAACCUGGGAACUGCGUUUGAAACUCCAAAGCUAGAGUAUAGGAGAGGGGGGUAGAAUUCCACGUGUAGCAGUGAAAUGCGUAGAGAUGUGGAGGAAUACCAAUGGCGAAGGCAGCCCCCUGGCUUAAUACUGACGCUCAUGCACGAAAGCGUGGGGAGCAAACAGGAUUAGAUACCCUGGUAGUCCACGCCCUAAACGAUGUCUACUAGUUGUUGGGAGAGUAAAAUCUCUUAGUAACGCAGCUAACGCGUGAAGUAGACCGCCUGGGGAGUACGGUCGCAAGAUUAAAACUCAAAGGAAUUGACGGA
This 588-nucleotide ribosomal RNA is filed under the name uncultured bacterium. RNAcentral describes it as "bacterial SSU rRNA". It matches the Rfam family "Bacterial small subunit ribosomal RNA", at positions 338 to 917 of the family's 1533-position model. The record is from RNAcentral.